GACGAACGCUGGCGGCGUGCUUAACACAUGCAAGUCGAGCGGAGCGGCGAACGGGUGAGUAACGCGUGAGUAACUGCCCCCCUCUCUGGGAUAACAGUUGGAAACGGCUGCUAAUACCGGAUAGUGGGGGAUGACUCGCGUGCUGUAGGCUUGUUGGUGGGGUAGUGGCCUACCAAGGCAACGACUGUUACCCGGCCUGGGAGGGCGACCGGCCACAUUGGGCUGAGAUACGGCCCAAACUCGUAUGGGACGCAGCAGUGGGGAAGAUUGCGCAAUGGGGGAAACCAGGAGGAAGCAACGCCGGGUGCGGGAUGACGGCCCUCGGGUUGUAAACCGCUUUCAGCCAUGACGCGGUAGUGGCAGAAGAAGCACAGGCUAACUACGUGCCAGCAGCCGCGGUAAUAC
Molecule: ribosomal RNA, 405 nt
Filed under: uncultured bacterium
Lineage: Bacteria
Description: partial 16S ribosomal RNA
Rfam family: Bacterial small subunit ribosomal RNA
Source: RNAcentral